CUAUGCGGAAUGAUCAAUGAAUAUUUUAUGUAAACAAACCGGAAUGGAAACUCGCCGUUCACAUUCCGGUUUUCGCGAUUUUGGCUUAUCGCGACGGUUUCUCGCGGCGAAAAUACGUUGCGCGUGCGUGUUUAUCCCCAUAGAAGAGGGGAAAAGUGUUUUGUGCAAAGAAUAAACGCCCAAACAAGGCAAAAAUUUGUAAAAAGUCCCCGCUGAAGAGGGGUGAAAACCAGGGGGGAUCUAUCUGUCAAACAUCGUGUAACCAACAUAUUCGGCAACAUGGCGUUUGUUUUGGUUUUUGUUCUUUUUAGUCAUGAAAUUGAUCGAUGUGAAAUAUUAUAGAAUUGGAACGAUUUUUAUCAAAACGCGAGAAACCGCGGAAAACUUUCAUGAAUGUGUUGUGUAGUGAUAUUUUUCCCCUUUUUCCCCCAUUAUUGUUCAUAGUUACAAACAUCAUGGACCAACAAACGUCAUGGACCAGAGUUGAUCUGCGAUAACGCACACAUAUAUGGAAUUUGACAGCAGUGAAUUCCCUCUGGUGAAAACCAAAUCAAUGGCACCGAACAAGGCGAAGUGAUGGGUUUUCGGUUGUUUGCCUUCUGUUUCCAAGUGCCAGUGCGUGGGUUUUUUUUCCAAAGGCGCGGAAUUCUAUUCCGGCAAAAAUUAAAAUUUACACCAUCACGACUGCUUUUGGAACAAAAAGCAAAACUUCAGCGGAAUAAUUUAUUACUUCGCCACCAGUGCAAAGCACGCAAGAUUUUAACAAAGCAUCCCCAUGAAACACGCGCAAGUGUUCCACCGGAGACGACCGUUCUUCGGCCAACAAUCCCCGUAAACGACGCUGCCGCUGAACCCCAGAUGGAUCCGAAUCAGCCGAGACGACAACAUUCCGCGAGCUCAACUCAAAAUCUAGUUCGUCGAAAUGCAAAUGGUCAACCCGCAUCAACCAAUAAGCUCUGUUGAGCUCUUCAACCAUCAUUGCCAUUUUCUCAAUGUUCUUGGAAAAGAACUCAAAAGCACACAGCAUGAAGUAUUGACACGGAAUUUGAGCUGAAUUAAAAAAAUGUUUCGAAUCGGAUUAAAAUUUUAGGGUUGGCAACCACCUUGACUGGGAAAGACUCAAGCUUUCUACAACUCGGCAGUUCAACCAAAACCAACGCAAACCCACCGAUUCGGAAAA
Long non-coding RNA from Wyeomyia smithii (pitcher-plant mosquito), 1180 nucleotides. RefSeq lists it as uncharacterized. The transcript has 3 exons. NCBI's taxonomy places the organism in Eukaryota, Metazoa, Arthropoda, Insecta, Diptera, Culicidae. The record is from RefSeq and is a predicted model, not a curated record.